This 433-nucleotide ribosomal RNA is filed under the name uncultured bacterium. RNAcentral's name for it is "partial 16S ribosomal RNA". It matches the Rfam family "Bacterial small subunit ribosomal RNA", at positions 27 to 507 of the family's 1533-position model. The record is from RNAcentral.
GGGGGGGGGGGGGGGGGGGGGGGACGCGGGGGGGGGGGGCGAGGCCUGCGGGGCGGGUGGCGCGCGGGUGCGUGACGCGUGGGCAUCUGCCCUUGGGUUCGGAAUCACUCGCCGAGAGGCGUGCUAAUACCGCAUGAUGAGGUCAGUCCAAAGAUUUAUCGCCCAAGGAUGAGCCCGCGUUGGCUUAACUAGUUGGUUAGGUCAAGGCGCACCAACGCGCCGACCCAUAGCUGGUCUGAGAGGAUGAUCAGCCACACUGGGACUGGGACACGGCCCAGACGCCUACGGGAGGCAGCAGUGGGGAAUAUUGGACAAUGGGCGAAAGCAUGAUCCAGCAAUGCCGCGUGAGUGAUGAAGGCCUUAGGGUUGUAAAGCUCUUUUACACGGGAUGAUAAUGACCGUACCGGGAGAAUAAGCUCCGGCUAACUCCGUG